This 372-nucleotide long non-coding RNA is filed under the name Physcomitrium patens. Its description in RNAcentral is "long non-coding RNA (PPAT_LNC013884)". The record is from RNAcentral. Lineage: Eukaryota; Viridiplantae; Streptophyta; Bryopsida; Funariales; Funariaceae.
AAAUGAUAUAAGCACAUAUAAGAGAGAGUUAGAACUUAAUUUUAGCAAAAAUGACCUCAAGAAAAGAAGAAUUGAUACCCAGAGAGGACCAUUUGCCAACCAGGGUCAAAAUCAGAUACUAAGGUACAAAAUUGAGCACCUACACCGUUCUGGAGUUCUUUUGUUAAUUGGAGAGUGGAAUUUGAGAGCGAACUUGAGAAGAGAUUUUUGAGAGUUGGUUUCAUGUCAUUUGGAUGAAUAUUGAGGUUUUAAGGGAUUUUCAAAGUUAAUAAUAUACUUGGUGGGUUUAGAUUUGAGAAAUAAAAAUAAAUUUAUAAAUUUGAGGAUUUUGUGAAUUUUUUAACAUAUUUACAAGAAUAUCAACAUUAAGGU